Molecule: unclassified non-coding RNA, 377 nt
Filed under: soil metagenome
Description: partial contains 5.8S ribosomal RNA, internal transcribed spacer 2, and large subunit ribosomal RNA
Rfam family: 5.8S ribosomal RNA (bases 1-120)
Source: RNAcentral
GAUGAAGAACGUAGCGAAAUGCGAUAAGUAAUGUGAAUUGCAGAAUUCAGUGAAUCAUCGAAUCUUUGAACGCAUCUUGCGCUCCUUGGUAUUCUGAGGAGCAUGCCUGUUUGAGUGUCAUUAAGUUCUCAACCGCACUGACUUUGAAUUGGUGUGGCUUGGAUUUGGGGGGAAAAUUGUUGUGGGCUUUUUUGUAUAGUCUGCUCCCCUGAAAUUGAUUAGCGGUACCUUUGUGGAACUGUCUACAGGUGUGAUAAUUAUCUACAUCCUAGACAUCUGCUGGAAUGCUGCUUUCUAAACCUUACUUGUAUUGACAAUCUUGACCUCAAAUCAGGUAGGACUACCCGCUGAACUUAAGCAUAUCAAUAAGCGGAGGA